CAGAUAUUCAAAAGAAAAAUUGAGGGAAGAAAUUGCCGCAAUCCAUCCCCUCUUCAAGAGAGAAACAAAGAGAGUGAGGGAGAACACCGUAUUCACCUUGUCUCUCUUGACUCUCCGAAACCCUAACCAAAGUUAACAUGGAUCGAUGGAGCUUCUUCUCGUUGAGGCCUUUCCAAUCCCAUAGUUUCUGGCCUUUUCAUGAACCAUUAAGAAGACUGGGGCGCUAUGUUAACGGUUUAGUGUGUUGUUGAAGCAAUAGAGAGUUGUGGUUCAAAGGCGAUGUGGAUGGUAUUCACAAGGUGUUGGAGUCUGGUGUUAGUGUCAAUUUCAGGGAUAUUGAUUAUCGCACUGUUCUUCAUGUAGGUCGUUGAGUUUUUGCUCCGUAAAGGUGCCAAAGUUGACGCCAAGGAUCGAUGGGGAAGCAUGGGAAGGAGGAGCAGCCUAGGGAUGAUGUUGUUGUUGAAGAUGAAAUUAAUGGUGGGUUUCUAUUGGAUCUUCAUAUUUGGAUAUAGUUUAUGAUCUUGAUUCAGGUUCUGACUCUGACGCAGCUGUUGGCUUGAAGUGAAAAAGGCUUGAGAUCCCACAAGAUGUCUCACAAGAUUACACUAUUUUAGUUGUCCUAGGAUGAGAAUUGAACUUGGAACUUUUACUUGCUUGAUGCAUUGUUUGCUUUUUAAAGGAUAGGAAUUCGGUCCCCCAAAAAUUUGAACCAAACAAUAAUUGAGAGAGCUAUGAAGGGAGAUGAGAUGGAACGCAUGAAGGCUCAUGAUCUGGGUCCGAGCAGUAUAUAUGGAAUUUGGAGGAUUGAUAGCACAGACAACAGUUUCUCAACGCAGUCCUUUCGGAUAAAAUAUGCUAGGCAGGACAGUCAUUUAUGUAUGAUGAUCUCAUUCAACUUAUCCCUUAGUAGAUUUGAGGUAAUGAUUUUUCUCUCAUUUCUUCUCUUUCUAGAGGGUAUGGUCAUAUCAAGGGGAAAGGAAAUGUUAUGGUAUGCCAAUAUUGAUAUUGGGUGCCAAGUUAUCUAUUGGGAACAUUUCCUAGGUCAUACCACACUGUUAACAAGGUUGAAAUCUAAUUUCCCAUAAAUUGUUUAUACAGUCCAUCACAUGUGCACAUGCAGAGACAUAAGCAUGUAGUGAUUCUGACAACACAAGACCCUUAAUGAACCAUUCAGUUACUAAUUAAUUGAUGUGUGGACAUGUAAUGUUUUAACAGGUUUAAUCUGGCCAUAGUGAUUUACGUUUGAGGUUUAAUAGCUGUGGCUACUGUAUUUCUCUUUUCUUUGCUACAUUCAUUAUACUUGCUAACCAGGGUUGAUUGAGUUCCUAUUCACAAUGACA
This is a non-coding RNA of Cajanus cajan (pigeon pea), 1340 nucleotides long. The record is from RefSeq and is a predicted model, not a curated record. Lineage: Eukaryota; Viridiplantae; Streptophyta; Magnoliopsida; Fabales; Fabaceae.